RNAcentral lists this ribosomal RNA (232 nucleotides) under Clostridioides difficile. RNAcentral describes it as "partial 23S ribosomal RNA". It matches the Rfam family "Bacterial large subunit ribosomal RNA", at positions 1631 to 1874 of the family's 2925-position model. The record is from RNAcentral. Lineage: Bacteria; Bacillati; Bacillota; Clostridia; Peptostreptococcales; Peptostreptococcaceae.
GUUAAAGGUACCCGUACCGCAAACCGACACAGGUGGGUGAGGAGAGUAUCCUAAGGCCAGCGAGAGAACUGUUGUUAAGGAACUCGGCAAAAUGACCCCGUAACGUAGGGAUAAGGGGUGCCACCAUUAGGUGGCCGCAGAGAAUAGGCCCAAGCGACUGUUUACCAAAAACAUAGGUUUCUGCUAAGUCGCAAGACGAUGUAUAGGAGCUGACGCCUGCCCGGUGCUGGAA